UCCGACGUGUGCUCUUCUGACACAUUUCAUACCCUCCCAGCUAUGUCCCCUUCCAGCCCUGGCUGCACGUCUGCUUCCAUUCUGUUCGGACACACCUGC
This is a non-coding RNA of Vicugna pacos (alpaca), 99 nucleotides long. Lineage: Eukaryota; Metazoa; Chordata; Mammalia; Artiodactyla; Camelidae. The record is from RefSeq and is a predicted model, not a curated record.